UUUGAUCUUUGUUCUUCU
Molecule: small RNA, 18 nt
Filed under: Arabidopsis thaliana (thale cress)
Lineage: Eukaryota; Viridiplantae; Streptophyta; Magnoliopsida; Brassicales; Brassicaceae
Description: ATSL016500
Source: RNAcentral